CCACGCCGUAAACGAUGUCGACUAGCCGUUGGGUCUCCUUGAGCACUUAGUGGCGCAGUUAACGCGAUAAGUCGACCGCCUGGGGAGUACGGCCGCAAGGUUAAAACUCAAAUGAAUUGACGGGGGCCCGCACAAGCGGUGGAGCAUGUGGUUUAAUUCGAUGCAACGCGAAGAACCUUACCUACCCUUGACAUCCUCGGAAUCCGCCGGAGACGGCGGAGUGCCUUCGGGAGCCGAGAGACAGGUGCUGCAUGGCUGUCGUCAGCUCGUGUUGUGAAAUGUUGGGUUAAGUCCCGUAACGAGCGCAACCCUUGUCCCUAUUUGCCAGCGAUUCGGUCGGGAACUCUAGGGAGACUGCCGGUGACAAACCGGAGGAAGGUGGGGACGACGUCAAGUCAUCAUGGCCCUUACGGGUAGGGCUACACACGUGCUACAAUGGCCGGUACAAAGGGUUGCAAUCCCGCGAGGGGGAGCCAAUCUCGGAAAGCCGGUCUCAGUCCGGAUCGGAGUCUGCAACUCGACUCCGUGAAGUCGGAAUCGCUAGUAAUCGUGAAUCAGAAUGCACGAUGGCC
This 572-nucleotide ribosomal RNA is filed under the name Halomonas sp. RNAcentral's name for it is "bacterial SSU rRNA". It matches the Rfam family "Bacterial small subunit ribosomal RNA", at positions 795 to 1367 of the family's 1533-position model. Lineage: Bacteria; Pseudomonadati; Pseudomonadota; Gammaproteobacteria; Oceanospirillales; Halomonadaceae. The record is from RNAcentral.